Molecule: ribosomal RNA, 468 nt
Filed under: uncultured bacterium
Lineage: Bacteria
Description: partial 16S ribosomal RNA
Rfam family: Bacterial small subunit ribosomal RNA
Source: RNAcentral
GACGAACGCUGGCGGCGUGCUUAACACAUGCAAGUCGAACGGAAAGGCCCUGCUUGUUCGGUGUGCUCGGGUGGAGAACGGGUGAAAAACAUGUGAGUACCCGGCCUUUGACUUUGGUAAAAUUUCAAGACCCUGGGUCUUAUUCCGGAUCAGAGCCCCUGCUACCUUGUGGGGGUGGGAAAGUUUCGGCUGAUGGAGAGAGCCUCGCGGCGUCUCCGCGUUUUGGUGGGGUUGUGGCUUCCCAAGGCAAUGACGGGUCGCCGGCCUGAGAGGGUAAGCGGCCAAAUUGGGACUGAGAUACGGCACAGACUGCUACCGGAGGCAGCAGUGGAGAAUAUUGCACGAUGGGCGGAAGCCUGAUGCAGCAACGCCGCGUGCGGGAUGACGGCCUUCGGGUUGUAAACCGCUUUUGCUGGGGACGAAGCGUGAGUGACGGUACUGGGAUAAGAAGCACCGGCUAACUACGUG